Long non-coding RNA from Anneissia japonica, 616 nucleotides. RefSeq lists it as uncharacterized. Lineage: Eukaryota; Metazoa; Echinodermata; Crinoidea; Comatulida; Comatulidae. The transcript is spliced from 3 exons. The record is from RefSeq and is a predicted model, not a curated record.
CGUCACUUUGCUAAAACAAAAUGAUGUUCUGUAUUGUAGAUUUGGGAAUGGUUUGGGUUUGUUUUGGUUGAAGGUCGAACACGGCGCGAGUCAUUGAGAUUAAUAGAAUUGAGAGUUUAUAGAAACUAUAUAUUAAGGGAACAACAACCUUGAGACAUAAACAACAGGAAGUGCUCCAACCUGGUGUGCUGUACUUUUCAAAACACAAAUCAUCACAGAGGAUCUUGUCUUAGACAAAAGAAUUAAAUGGCGAACACUUUUCACCAAUCUCAAAAAGGCAUGAAUACGAGAUAUGGAGUAUCGUGCGCUAAUGGCGAACUGAAAUACAAACUUAUACACGAAAGUAUUGUACAACUCUGCGUUAUAAACCAUGCUAGUAAUGUGAUCAACAAGAUAAUGAAUCUGAAGUUAUUGAGAAAGAUUGAGACACAUCAUUUGGUUCUCAGUGAAAGCACGAUUUAUUCUAGAACGCCGACAGGAAAUAUGGAAUAUCCUAUUCCUUAUUGCAGCAUUAUGGAAGUUCACCCUUUGACACGCUGGCAGGUUGGACAGAAUUGCUGCUUGCGUAUCAGCAUACCAUCAGGCUCAGUAAUUUUGCAGGUAACAUCUUUCAAAG